UAUGUGUUGUUUCAUAGUUUUGAUGUCUUCUCUAUUAUUCAACAAUUUAGAACAUUUACAACAACAACAAAAAUUAUUCACAUUAACAUUAUUUCCUUGCAAUAUUUAGUUUUGCUAUCAAUACUUUUGGGUUUAUGUUUCGCUUUGAAUAUAAUUAUUUUUGUUUGCAAUACUAAUAAUUGUGUUAUCUUUUGAUUUGCUUGAUAAUAAUGGCACAAAUGUAGCUCACUCACUAGAGGAUUUCACCAUCUAAAAACAUUAUUAUUCCACUCCACAGUUUCUGUAAAAAGCUGAGGGAUGGUGCUGAAGAAAUGCAACCACUCAAAUCCAAAAACCACACUAGAUUUGCAAGCUUUUAUUUUGGGUUCUGAUGGGGUACAACAGUUGUACCAAGCUCAUAAGGGAAUUAUACGUUAUAUUCUUCAAGAAUCAAUGGGUUCAUAUCAUUCAUUUAUAAGUCCAAAAAUGUAUGGUGCAACUAAGGAUGGCCCCUUUAACAGGCAGUGAACUUCAUACAGCCAUUUGAAUGUGAUUCAUUAACCUGCCACCCGAAGAAUUAUUCUGUCCACUGUUCCGAAUGUCCUGCAAAAAUCGUUUCCUUGUCCUGCAUUUGGGCUUUUUAGAUGUGGUCAACCUAAUUCCACUGGAGGAAACAUUGAUACUGCAACAUGUUAUCACCAUCUUUGCAAACUGUGUACUCUCUGAAGUAACCAGAAAUACCGGAUAUACUGUACAUGGAUGAAAGACGCAAACAAGUUCCGGCAAGCAGCUUGAUUUAAGACCGGAGCUAGAGCUGGAGCUGGGAUGGAUGCCUCCCCCUGUCAUCAAUGGAGGCCAAUGCAGCCAGUUAAUCUGGGUCCUUGGAUCAGAACAGGAAGUCUGCUUUUCCUGUAAAGGGGGGACUUUACAAAGACAGACCUUGCCACUCCACUGCUGCAGGUCGGAACAAGCAGAGAUAGACCACCUUUGAUAAAUGGCUGGCAGUGGAAAGUGAGAAAGACCUUGCUGCCUCUGCUCACUGCGUCAAGACAGAGUUCUUUUACACACUACCACAUGCAAGGAAGCACAUGGUGAUGGAUCCCAGAUGUGUGCGAGAGAAGGAGCUGGCUCCUUUUGGACUGUGGCCACAACAGUCCAGACCAGAUUGCAAUUGUAAUGUCCAGUGUUGUGUUGAUGGUUUAGACUAAUUAUAAGACUGAUUAGAGUAAACUUGGCGAUGGACUGAAAGGCCUUGUGUGCUUUGAGUCAACAAGUACCAAUGCCAAAGACUGAUAGUGGUUCAUAAACAUACAAACCCGCAAGCAUGCACGCAAAGGGAAAUGUACAUGAAUGCACACCAUCGGUGCAUAAUACAAUGCACAAUGUCUGUCAAACCAAUUUAUGCAACGUGUUAAAGAUGAUGCCAGAAAUAUGUUUUAUAGAGACUGUCAUAAUCCACUAGAUCCAGGAUAACGUUCCCCGUCCAUGCUCUGAAAAUGUUCUCUGUUUUUUCUUUCCAUUUUAUGAUUGUCAGCACAGCCCUGUAUAUUUCCAAGAGAGCCAGUAACCAACACGACAUCAUGCUUAAAUGCCUUAAUGAGCUGACAAAAUCAGAUUCAGGAGAUUUCUUGGGGAGAUUUUCCUUGACUGAUCAGAGGCUUGUGUGCCUAGAGAGGGAUCUCUUUGUGUUUGUGUUUGUGUGAUGGGGAGGGGGAGGGGGCCAUUUUAGAGUCAUAUGUAAGAUAUUAAGAUAUUCCUUUGAAGAGCAGCAUAAAAUGUGGAGGAUUCCAGAAGUACCGACAGAAAGGGCCAAACCCAGAAGAUUAUGUAAUGCACACACACACACACACAUACGUGCAUAUGCACACACACGGAUGCACACACACAUGCACGCGCAAGCACACACACCAUAGUGAUAGUAGAUGCAGGACUUGCCAACAAUUUGACUCAGGGUGUCAUGCAUUUGGUGUGUGUCCGAGUAAAACUUGUGGGCCAAUGGGUCACACGAUUAAUGAAAUGCUAGUGUGGGAAACAUUAAAUUGUGAUUGUGA
This is a long non-coding RNA of Salvelinus namaycush (lake trout), 2030 nucleotides long. RefSeq lists it as uncharacterized. NCBI's taxonomy places the organism in Eukaryota, Metazoa, Chordata, Actinopteri, Salmoniformes, Salmonidae. The transcript is spliced from 4 exons. The record is from RefSeq and is a predicted model, not a curated record.